This 313-nucleotide ribosomal RNA is filed under the name uncultured bacterium. RNAcentral's name for it is "bacterial SSU rRNA". It matches the Rfam family "Bacterial small subunit ribosomal RNA", at positions 28 to 334 of the family's 1533-position model. The record is from RNAcentral.
GAUGAACGCUGGCGGCGUGCUUAACACAUGCAAGUCGAACGGGCUCAUAUUGAAACCUAGUGAUGUAUGAGUUAGUGGCGGACGGGUGAGUAACGCGUGGAGAACCUGCCGUAUACUGGGGGAUAACACUUAGAAAUAGGUGCUAAUACCGCAUAAGCGCACAGCUUCGCAUGAAGCAGUGUGAAAAACUCCGGUGGUAUACGAUGGAUCCGCGUCUGAUUAGCUGGUUGGCGGGGUAACAGCCCACCAAGGCGACGAUCAGUAGCCGGCCUGAGAGGGUGAACGGCCACACUGGUACUGAGACACGGACCAG